UAUUUUUCGAUAUGGAGUCGUAUCUUUCAAUACACUUCUUCGAUUCUCGAAUAGAUUAUUUCUAUAUAUUUCAUUCGAUGAUACGAAGCUAUAGACAUCUUCGACCCAUCAAUUGGAUUAUUAGAUUGAAUUUUUAAUUAUAGAUCCCCUUCUCCGACUCAAGCCUAAAUAUGUGGAUCUUCUAAAUAUGAAAACUUAAAACAAGUAAAAGAGUUUACUAAUAAAAUUAUCUGAUGUGAUGGUUAGAACAACG
This 253-nucleotide long non-coding RNA is filed under the name Elaeis guineensis (African oil palm). RNAcentral describes it as "long non-coding RNA (EGUI_LNC067981)". Lineage: Eukaryota; Viridiplantae; Streptophyta; Magnoliopsida; Arecales; Arecaceae. The record is from RNAcentral.